This is a long non-coding RNA of Zingiber officinale, 668 nucleotides long. RefSeq lists it as uncharacterized. The record is from RefSeq and is a predicted model, not a curated record. The transcript has 4 exons. Lineage: Eukaryota; Viridiplantae; Streptophyta; Magnoliopsida; Zingiberales; Zingiberaceae.
ACUUACCUUGCCGAUGGAAAAGUCGCAGGCCUGUAGCAACUCGCCGCGACGAUAUCACGCCACCUCCCGCCUGCGCCUACGGCCUACGAGAAGGACUCAAGAUGUCUUCUCCUCCCUGUCGCAUCUCUUCUUCUUGCUCACGGCUCCACUCUUCAACGGUUAUCUCUAGAUGAUGAUAAAUAUAGCCCAUGGAAUGGAAUUAGAAUUUUCAUUGUGAUUUGUGAAUUUGAGCUUUGGUUGUCUUGUCUAUUGAUCACUGUGCUUCCUCCGUUCCUCGCCGGCGUCGCUGCCGGAAAACGCUCGUCCGCAUCCUCGAAUGCUCGCUUCCCUCUGAAACAUCUAGUGUUUCAAUUUAUAGUUUAGGUGUUGUCAGAUGAGGUGCUUAACUUAACGACCUAGGAUAUUUCCAUUAAUAUUGAAAACUAUCAUAUUUCAGGUAACAGGUAGAUGAGUCUUGGAUGCUUGGAGAGAUGUCGGCUGCCAGUCCUGGGUCCUGCGUUUUAUCGGUUUUAUUUCCUCUUUACUUGUAUUUUGAGCAUACAACGAUGUUAGUAUUGUAUGAAUUGGUCUGUGUUUGAUUCAAGGUGUUUUUGCUUUUCGUGAUCUUGUGAUUGUGUAAGCUUAAUUAGCUAGUAAUCUUUAGUGGUGGAUUAUGAGUUUUCUCUUCA